Molecule: long non-coding RNA, 1407 nt
Organism: Mya arenaria
Lineage: Eukaryota; Metazoa; Mollusca; Bivalvia; Myida; Myidae
Exons: 7
Source: RefSeq, a predicted model, not a curated record
AAUCGUCCACCCUUUGGAUGAAAAGCAAAUGAUUUAUCCGGAUUUUGUUCAUCCGAAACUAAAUCACUAGUAUCAACAUCCGGUGUAAGUUUUGCUUGUAUUUUGGAGAAACUCGAUUGAUUAACAAACUUGGUUUACCACUACAUCGUCGCUUAUUAUUAUUUGUUGCUGCUUGGGACAAUAAAGUUAAGUCAGCAAUCGUCUACCAGACUGCAAGAUUCAUCUCUUCCAAAGGAUGUCGUACCUUUCCAGAUACACUGUGUUUUGUGUGGAUAAGAAAUGCAGAGUGGUACCACCAAUCACCUAAGCCACCAUUCCCCUAACAGACAAUAGGCUCAUGGGGACAGUUCCUGCAAUUUACAGAAAAGCUCUCAAUUGUAGCCCUACGAACAUCAGAUACUGCCGAUGGUGAAGCUUGGGUGCACCGGGCCGGUUUUCCAGCCGUGUGGAAUCAACAUCUCCAGCUGAACUGGGGCCGGAAAUUAUAUAAGACUCCUUAGCAGCAUGAGUGCCAGCCAGUCAUUGCUUUUCUUUGCAUUGCUGAGGAGGACAGUCCUGCCAACAUAACAGUUUGUUCAAUAACAGGAGACAAACAGAAACACAGAGGUGCUAUACAUUCUGAUGGAAAAACAAAAGCAUCUCCCAUCAUUUUGGUGUGGCUCAGAUCAAGAGGAGAAUUUUAAGAAAGGUGAUGGUUGGGCACACACAAGAAGACAUAGAUCACAGUUGUCUAGCCAUAUGAGUAGAUAGGAGUGUCACACUCUGCCAAACUUACUUCAUCAGACGAGCAGAAAGCUUCUCAAGAUCCCGCACUGCACACUAAGACAUAGUCUUUGACUACAACAAGGUGAUGAAAGUACAGAGAGGUCCAAUUGAAAUCAAUUCUGUGCUGCGUCAUUUCUUCAUUCUGGAAGUCGAUGGACGUGAUUUAUCAUGGCAUAAAGUGUGCAGUUUGCCGACUAUCAGCAGUCUUGUUCACCAGCUGUGCAACUUGAGCUGGUAGCUUUAUUGCUUGAAGCCACUGCAUAAGAGGGGGAAGGUGCAGGCUCAUCAAAAAGUCUCAAAAGUCGAAACUAGGAAAAGAAGUUUAUCAAGAGUGUGAAUCUAUUUUGAAAACAAUCGUUACAAUGAUUUGGUUUCCUUUGAAACUUGAUACAUACUAUGAAUUGAGAUGCUUAAAUAAAAAACCGCUAUUCAAAUAUCAGGAAACUGCCUUUUUCAUACUAAAGGGUAAAUGAUGUCGCCAUUUCCUGUAUGUAUUUAAAUAAGAUAUGUCUCCACAAUUAAUAUUUUUAGGGAAUUUUUCUCAACCUAAUGACUGAGAUUAAAUUGUACAGCGUUAUAUGAGCUUAAUAUGUGUUUUCUCAUUCUUUAAAAUUGGUGAAAAAUUGUCAGAAGAUAAUUAGA